Molecule: small nucleolar RNA, 94 nt
Organism: Oenanthe melanoleuca
Lineage: Eukaryota; Metazoa; Chordata; Aves; Passeriformes; Muscicapidae
Product: Z30 small nucleolar RNA
Exons: 1
Source: RefSeq, a predicted model, not a curated record
AAGCAAUGAUGAGUGAAGUAUAGUCUGACCUGGUAUUGCUGACUCCGUGUCUGCUCUGACCAGGGCAUGAUCACUUAAUCUUCUCUCUGAGCUA